RNAcentral lists this transfer RNA (76 nucleotides) under Vibrio parahaemolyticus. Its description in RNAcentral is "tRNA-Thr". It matches the Rfam family "tRNA". Rfam says of the family: Transfer RNA (tRNA) molecules are approximately 80 nucleotides in length. Their secondary structure includes four short double-helical elements and three loops (D, anti-codon, and T loops). Lineage: Bacteria; Pseudomonadati; Pseudomonadota; Gammaproteobacteria; Vibrionales; Vibrionaceae. The record is from RNAcentral.
GCUGAUAUAGCUCAGGUGGUAGAGCGCAUCCUUGGUAAGGGAUGAGGCCGGCAGUUCGAGUCUGCUAUCAGCACCA